RNAcentral lists this transfer RNA (72 nucleotides) under Marmota marmota marmota (Alpine marmot). It matches the Rfam family "tRNA". Rfam says of the family: Transfer RNA (tRNA) molecules are approximately 80 nucleotides in length. Their secondary structure includes four short double-helical elements and three loops (D, anti-codon, and T loops). The record is from Rfam by way of RNAcentral. RNAcentral also lists the same sequence under 1 other name. Lineage: Eukaryota; Metazoa; Chordata; Mammalia; Rodentia; Sciuridae.
GGGGAUGUAGCUCAGUUGUUGAACAUUUGCCUACCAUGUACAAGGUCCUGGGUUCAAUCCCCAACAUUAUCA